GCCGGGUGUGGUGGCGCAUGCCUGUAAUCCCAGCUACUUGGGAGGCUGAGGCAGGAGAAUUGCUUGAGCCCGGGAGGCGGAGGUUGCAGUGAGCCAAGAUCGCGUCACUGCACUCCAGACUGGGCAACACAGCGAGUCCUUGUCUCAA
Molecule: non-coding RNA, 148 nt
Organism: Homo sapiens (human)
Lineage: Eukaryota; Metazoa; Chordata; Mammalia; Primates; Hominidae
Rfam family: Metazoan signal recognition particle RNA
About the family: The signal recognition particle (SRP) is a universally conserved ribonucleoprotein. It is involved in the co-translational targeting of proteins to membranes.
Source: Rfam